This 254-nucleotide ribosomal RNA is filed under the name uncultured bacterium. RNAcentral's name for it is "partial 16S ribosomal RNA". It matches the Rfam family "Bacterial small subunit ribosomal RNA", at positions 524 to 776 of the family's 1533-position model. The record is from RNAcentral.
UACGGGGGGGGCAAGCGUUGUUCCGGAAUUACUGGGCGUAAAGCGUGCGCAGGCGGUGAUGUAAGACAGGUGUGAAAUCCCCGGGCUUAACCUGGGAACUGCGCUUGUUACUGAUAGGCUUGAGUGUGGCAGAGGGGGGUGGAAUUCCACGUGUAGCAGUGAAGUGCGUAGAGAUGUGGAGGAACACCGAUGGCGAAGGCAGCCCCCUGGGCUAACACUGACGCUCAUGCACGAAAGCGUGGGGAGCAAACAGG